UUGCACUGGGAGGAUGUCGAUGAGAAUCUGCUUCGUACUUUUGCUGGCACUCUCUGCUAGUUUUGCUACAACGGUCAAGUGUCCGAAUAUUAUUAAAAGGAGUCAAUGGAGCAGUGUCCUUCCUGGAGAAGUGAAUUAUUUAAUAGUACCGAUACCUUACGUGAUAAUACAUCACACAGUCAGCGGCGAAUGUGAUACGCGAAGGAGUUGUACAACUGUCGUCGAUAAUAUUCGCAGUUAUCACAUGGACACAAAUGGUUGGGAUAACAUCGGCUAUUCUUUCUUGAUUGGCGGCGAUGGAAAUGUAUACGAGGGAUGCGGAUGGACACACGAAGGAGCACAUACAUACGGAUAUAAUAAAAAAUCUGUCGGUAUAGCUUUCAUUGGGAAUUUUGAGCGAAAGGAAGCUAAUCAGACAAUGGUAGAUAUUGCACAUCAAUUAAUCAAAUGUGGAAUAUCCCAAGGUAUCCUUCGAAACAAUGUACGCGUGCUUGGUGGACGACAGGUGGGUCAGACAGCUAGUCCUGGAAAUUAUCUUUACACGCAAAUUCAAGAUUGGCCUGAAUGGAGUAGCGAUCCUUAGACAAGUGUUUCGGAAGUGGAUGCUCUUGAUCAAAUCGAGGUGCCCAAGUUUCAUAACGAAAACAAAAUAUUUUUAAUUGUUUAAUUUGUAAAUUGAUCAGAAUUUCAGCCUCUUUAAACAAGAUUUGUAAGGUAAUUUCGUUAUUCUCGCCGAAGGCCUGAUUACCGUUUACAUUAAUUCGUGUCUCGUUCGAUAGGAUUAUGUAAAGCAAGCUGAAGCUUUCUAUCGCUGUUUUGUCGCAACUCAUUAGCAAAAUUAACAAAAAGUAUGACAAAUGUAAGACCGUAAGAAAUAUACGUCAAUAUUCGAGAAGAACGCAUGUAGACGGCGCGGAAAUAAAUCGUGGAGAUUGUGACGAAUUUAGGAGAUGGAACGGUAUGACGUCGCAACGUAUAUCAAUACUAUUCAAGUUUCAUUCUUUUUUUUUUCGAUUAUUAGGAGAUCACGUAAUUACUAAUAUACAAAUGAUACAUUAUCACCGAGAGUUCUCUUACACAGAAUAAAUAUAUUGCGCAUAUUUUAGCGGGUUUUUCAAGAAUGACGCAAUCGAGCCGUGCUUAAGUUUUUUUCUUUUUAAUCAUAGUUAUUAUUAUCGUUAAUAUCCAUAUAAUUAUCAAUAACUACAGUAAAACACAAAACAAAAAAGGAUAUAGUGAUAUCUGUACAUUCUCCUUAAAUGAUUAACGUAAACAUUUUUGUAUACCUUGUAGCCUACAAAUAGGAAGAAACUAAAUCAUAAUAUUCACAGAUAUUUUACAAGAUAGAUGAGGCUCGCCGACCUGCGCACGCAUCGCGUAACAACGAUGCAGGAAAACUUUUAAUCCUGCACCUGCACACUACAUAACUGACUGCUGAAAAAAGAGCGAAGAGGAAAACACAGCGCUUUCGUGAAAAUAAACGAAACGUCACGCGACACGUGCGCACGUUCGUGCCUUAUGUACUUAUUCAUAGCUAUAAUAUAUACGUGUUUCUUGUUUUUUAUCACCUGCUCGCUCAAUUAUACCUCUACACUGUACAUAUCCACAACGCACUUUUACACUGUACAUGCACACGCUCCGCGAGUAUCCGCGCUGCCUUAAAGUAAUUGUAAACCGCAGGGAUGGACGGAACAAUAAUUACGAUGCUAUUCAUCGCCAUAAAAUUAACGGAUUCAUCGAAUCAGUCUAAUCAUCUUUCUAAAAUUAACAGCAGAAUGAUGAGAUAAGUAAAUAAAAAAAAAACGAUCGUGUUUUUUGCUCUAACGUUGCAGUUAUAUCCAUAAUUUUCACAAACAGUACUA
Molecule: RNA transcript, 1862 nt
Organism: Cyphomyrmex costatus
Lineage: Eukaryota; Metazoa; Arthropoda; Insecta; Hymenoptera; Formicidae
Gene: PGRP-S3
Gene name: peptidoglycan recognition protein S3
Exons: 5
Source: RefSeq, a predicted model, not a curated record